AAAAAAUGUAACAAGGUUUCCGUAGGUGAACCUGCGGAAGGAUCAUUACCUAGAGUUGCGGGCUCUGCCUGCCAUCUCUUACCCAUGUCUUUUGAGUACCUUACGUUUCCUCGGCGGGUCCGCCCGCCGACUGGACAAACUUAAACCACUUGCAGUUGAAAUCAGCGUCUGAAAAAACUUAAUAGUUACAACUUUCAACAACGGAUCUCUUGGUUCUGGCAUCGAUGAAGAACGCAGCGAAAUGCGAUAAGUAGUGUGAAUUGCAGAAUUCAGUGAAUCAUCGAAUCUUUGAACGCACAUUGCGCCCCUUGGUAUUCCAUGGGGCAUGCCUGUUCGAGCGUCAUUUGUACCUUCAAGCCUUGCUUGGUGUUGGGUGUUUGUCUCGCCUCUGCGCGCAGACUCGCCUCAAAACAAUUGGCAGCCGGCGUAUUGAUUUCGGAGCGCAGUACAUCUCGCGCUUUGCACUCACCACGGCGGCGUCCAAAAGUACAUUUUUACACUCUUGACCUCGGAUCAGGUAGGGAUACCCGCUGAACUUAAGCAUAUCAAUAAGCGGAGGAAAAGAAACCAACAGGGAUUGCCCUAGUAACGGCGAGUGAAGCGGCAACAGCUCAAAUUUGAAAUCUGGCGUCUUCGGCGUCCGAGUUGUAAUUUGCAGAGGGCGCUUUGGCAUUGGCAGCGGUCCAAGUUCCUUGGAACAGGACGUCACAGAGGGUGAGAAUCCCGUACGUGGUCGCUAGCCUUUACCGUGUAAAGCCCCUUCGACGAGUCGAGUUGUUUGGGAAUGCAGCUCUAA
RNAcentral lists this ribosomal RNA (796 nucleotides) under Phoma sp. B17B. RNAcentral's name for it is "eukaryotic LSU rRNA". The stretch from base 504 to 796 matches the Rfam family "Eukaryotic large subunit ribosomal RNA", at positions 1 to 291 of the family's 3401-position model. Lineage: Eukaryota; Fungi; Ascomycota; Dothideomycetes; Pleosporales; Didymellaceae. The record is from RNAcentral.